Molecule: ribosomal RNA, 382 nt
Filed under: uncultured eukaryote
Lineage: Eukaryota
Description: partial 18S ribosomal RNA
Rfam family: Eukaryotic small subunit ribosomal RNA
Source: RNAcentral
UGUAAGCGUAUACCAAAGUUGUUGCAGUUAAAACGCUCGUAGUCGGACUUUGGCAGUUCCGGAUGUGUGCACGUCGUGUGCGCACUUCGCGGGGAUUGCUUUUGUGGUCUUGCGUAGGAUGAGGCACUUUUAUUAGUGAACGUCCUCACGCAACCACUUUUUACUGUGAGAAAAUCAGAGUGCUCAAAGCAGGCAUUUGCCGUGAAUGUAUUAGCAUGGAAUAAUGGAAUAGGACUUGGUUCUAUUUUGUUGGUUUGUUGGGACUGAGUAAUGAUUAAGAGGGACAGUUGGGGGCAUUUGUAUUUCGGUGCUAGAGGUGAAAUUCUUAGAUUACCGAAAGACAAACUGCUGCGAAAGCGUCUGCCAAGGAUGUUUUCAUUGA